UACGUAGGGGGCAAGCGUUGUCCGGAUUUAUUGGGCGUAAAGAGCGUGUAGGCGGCUUGGUAGGUCCGCUGUGAAAACUCGAGGCUCAACCUCGAGAUGUCGGCGGAAACCACUUGGCUAGAGUCCGGAAGAGGAGAGUGGAAUUCCUGGUGUAGCGGUGAAAUGCGCAGAUAUCAGGAAGAACACCUAUGGCGAAGGCAGCUCUCUGGGACGGUACUGACGCUGAGACGCGAAGGCGUGGGGAGCAAACAGG
RNAcentral lists this ribosomal RNA (253 nucleotides) under uncultured bacterium. RNAcentral describes it as "partial 16S ribosomal RNA". It matches the Rfam family "Bacterial small subunit ribosomal RNA", at positions 524 to 776 of the family's 1533-position model. The record is from RNAcentral.